GCCUGCGUGGUGGAAUGGUAGACGCUGGGGACUUAAAAUCCCUUGCCUUCGGGCGUGCGGGUUCGAGUCCCGCCGCAGGCACCA
RNAcentral lists this transfer RNA (84 nucleotides) under Gemmobacter lanyuensis. RNAcentral describes it as "tRNA-Leu". It matches the Rfam family "tRNA". From Rfam's summary of the family: Transfer RNA (tRNA) molecules are approximately 80 nucleotides in length. Their secondary structure includes four short double-helical elements and three loops (D, anti-codon, and T loops). The record is from RNAcentral. Lineage: Bacteria; Pseudomonadati; Pseudomonadota; Alphaproteobacteria; Rhodobacterales; Paracoccaceae.